RNAcentral lists this long non-coding RNA (350 nucleotides) under Sorghum bicolor (sorghum). RNAcentral describes it as "long non-coding RNA (SBIC_LNC018188)". Lineage: Eukaryota; Viridiplantae; Streptophyta; Magnoliopsida; Poales; Poaceae. The record is from RNAcentral.
CCGACACAACAGUGAACUUCUUCUUGACGUAUGACCCUUGGUUAUGAUCCUGCCGUAACCAUGGAGCAUCCUCAUUGUUUAAUAGAAUGCUUGGGUCUUUUUUGACUAUGAAGGGCGGAAUUCGAUCAUCUCUUUCGUAAUCGCCUAACAUGUCUGACUUGUCCUCAAUUCCGACAAUGUUUCUUUUCCCAAAAAGGACAAUGUGGCGCUUUGGCUCAUUGAUGAUUUAGUGGUCAUCAUUUUUUCCUCUCUUUGGUUUCAUAGACAUAUCUUUGACAUAGAACACCUGACUCAUGUCUGCAGCAAGGACGAAUGGUUUGUCUUUGAACCCACUAUUGUUAAGGUCCACG